UACGUAGGGGGCUAGCGUUGUCCGGAAUCAUUGGGCGUAAAGAGCGCGUAGGCGGUCAGAUAAGUCCGGUGUGAAAGUCAAAGGCUCAACCUUUGAAUGCCGCUGGAAACUGUCUGGCUAGAGUCCGGGAGGGGCGAGUGGAAUUCCUGGUGUAGCGGUGAAAUGCGCAGAUAUCAGGAGGAACACCAAUGGCGAAGGCAGCUCGCUGGAACGGUACUGACGCUGAGGCGCGAAAGCGUGGGGAGCGAACAGG
RNAcentral lists this ribosomal RNA (253 nucleotides) under uncultured bacterium. Its description in RNAcentral is "partial 16S ribosomal RNA". It matches the Rfam family "Bacterial small subunit ribosomal RNA", at positions 524 to 776 of the family's 1533-position model. The record is from RNAcentral.